Molecule: ribosomal RNA, 4086 nt
Filed under: Triticum aestivum (bread wheat)
Lineage: Eukaryota; Viridiplantae; Streptophyta; Magnoliopsida; Poales; Poaceae
Description: partial small subunit ribosomal RNA
Source: RNAcentral
AUGGAGUCCUCCGCCUCCGGCGACGGCCCCUCUGCCACGACGGCUGCUGUUGCUGCGGCAGCAGCGGUGGCGUCGUCCUCAUCGGGCCCCUCCACCUCUGCCUCCGCCUUCUCCGCCGGUGUCUCGGGUGGGGCAAGCGCCACCCACUACCUCGCCAAGCGCGUGCUCCAUGGCAGCGCCGUGCAGCACGUCGCCCGGGGCCACUUCCGCUCGGAGCACCUUUGGGAGUUCGUCCUCUGCAAGGGAACUUCACUUGAAUUAGUUGUGGUUGGUGAGGAUGGUGUUUUACAGUCAAUCUGCGAGCAAAAUACAUUUGGGAUUGUAAAAGAUGUUGGUGUCUUGGACUGGCGCUUUAAACACUUCGGUAUCUGGCCUGAGAUUGAAGGGAAAGAAAUUCUGGUUCUACUCUCUGAUUCUGGAAAGCUUUCUCUUCUUUACUUCUGUUGUCAGAUGCAUAGGUUUAUUCCAAUUGGAAAUAUCGAGUUAUCUAAACCAGGAAAUAUGAGGGAUCAACUGGGAAGAAUUUUGGCUAUAGACCACGACUCUGCUUGGGUUGCUAUUAGUGCGUACGAGGAUGCAUUUGCUGUUGUGCGUGUUGGAAGGACUCAGCAUGUUUAUGGUCCAAAUAAAGAAAUUGUAGAGAAGGCAAAAAUCGUGCAUGCUGUAUAUAAGACCAGUGAUAUCCGCGGUACGGUUUGGAGCAUGUGCUUCAUGAGGACUCGCUGUUCGAUGGAUGAAUAUUACCCAGUUGUGGCAAUGAUAAUUAACAGGAAGGGCUCUGAUGCGAAUGACUUGUCAAUGUAUGCACUAGCUGCCAACGAUGGUGGCAUCCAGUACCUAUCUGGUUACUCAGAACCUGGACCUUUGGCGCUUGAGAUCGCUGAAAUUCCUCAGCUGGAUGGCUUUGGACUUCUAUUUCGUGCUGGUGAUAUUUUAAUUGUGGAUCUUAGGGACCCAAAGGACAUCUGUUGUACCAUUAGAAUAAGCAUGACAGGCAGUCUGGUUGGAGAACAAAUCAGUGUUGAAGAUUCAUGUCGAGGAUUAGAUGUUGAUGACGAUGUUGCUGCUUGUGCUUUGCUAGAACUGAGAGAUUCUGGAAAUAACAUAAUGAUGGACGACAGUUGCAUGGCUAUUGAUGGUGCUGAUAACCCAGGAAGCAUGAAAUCAAGGGUUAUUUGCUCAUGGAGCUGGGAGCCGGAUGCCAUGCGAGGACAACCGAGGCUGAUCUUUUGCUUGGAUGAUGGAGAAUUUCAUAUUCUGGAAUUUAAUUGGGAUACGGAAGGAUUGAAGGUAUUGCCUGAGCGUGUCCAUAGGGGUUUGCCUUGUAAACCUCUUUUAUGGAUGGACAGAGGAAUGAUAGCAGGGUUUGUAGAGAUGGGAGAUGGAAUGAUCCUUCAUCUUGAACAUGGUAGACUGGUGCAUAGAAGUACAGUUCAGAAUGUAGGACCAAUAUUGGAUUUAGCAAUUGCUGACUACCAUGGUGAGAAGCAGGAUCAGUUGUUUUCAUGUUGUGGAAUGUGCCCUGAGGGAUCAUUGCGUGUUAUAAGGAAUGGUGUCAAUGUGGAGAAACUUCUGAGGACUGAACCUAUUUAUCAGGGUGUUACUGGUUUGUGGACAUUGAGAAUGAAGAGAACUGAUACAUAUCACUCUUUUCUUGUAUUGGCAUUUGUUGAGGAAACAAGAAUACUAUCAGUUGGACUGAGUUUUAAUGACAUCAGUGAUGCUGUGGGAUUUCAGCCUGAGGUUUGCACUUUGGCAUGUGGUUUAAUAGCUGAUGGUUUACUUGUGCAAAUUCACAGCAAAGGUGUAAAGCUUUGUUUGCCUACAUCACAUGCUCACCCUGAGGGUGCCGCCUUAACUUCUCCAGUUUGUGUUGACUGGUAUCCUGAUGUCACUAUCAGUGUUGGUGCUGUUGGACAUGAUGUUGUUGCUGUUGCUACAUCAAAUCCUUGUUGCCUAUAUAUUCUCAGGGUCAGACCAUUAUCUUCACUCCAGUACGAGUUGUAUGAGACACAGCAUGUCCAAUUGCAAUAUGAAGUAUCUUGCAUAUCCAUUCCAGAGGAGGACUCGAGACUUAGAACGUCAUGUUCUGCUUUUGGUGGUGAUUUUAGGAAGAGAGAAGGGAAUAAUUCUGCUGCUGAAGUUGAUGUUCGCAUGUUUGCUGUCAUUGGAACUCAUAAACCUUCUGUGGAAGUCAUCUCAUUGGAACCUGAUGAAGCAUUUAGGUUGCUCUCUAUUGGGUCUAUAUCAGUGAACAAUGCGCUCGGUGCUCCAGUUAGUGGCUGUAUACCUGAAAAUGUUCGGUUUGUAGCAUCUGAGAGGUUCUACAUUCUCGCAGGUCUAAGAAAUGGCAUGCUACUCAGGUUUGAGUCAGGAACAAGCAAAGACCAGUAUCUCCCUGGUUCCUUUUACAAGGAGUCUUUUGCACCUUCUCUUAGUGCUCUCCUUCAGUUGGUUGCUAUAAGGCAUAUUGGAAUUACCCCUGUAGGCUUGGUACCAUUGCAUGAUUCAGCUAAUUCUGAUAUUAUUGUUCUCAGUGAUAGGUCUUGGCUAUUAUAUGCUAGUAGACACAGCUUGGCAUAUUCAUCCAUCUCAUUUCUGCCUGCGUCCCAUGUGACUCCAGUAUCUUCUGUGGAUUGCCCCAGCGGUCUGCUAUUUGUUGCAGAGAACUGUUUACAUUUGGUUGAAAUGGUUCAUGGCAAAAGAUUAAAUGCACAAAAGUUUUCAGUUGGAGGGACUCCAAGGAAAGUGCUAUACCACAGCGAUAGUAGAACACUGUUGGUUAUGAGAACUGGUUUAACUGGUGCAUCAUGUUCUUCAGAUAUUGUCCAAAUAGAUCCUAAUAAUGGGAUCUUGCUUUCCCGAUUCAAGUGUGAACUUGGUGAAACUGCAAAAUGCAUCCAGAUUGCGAAAAUAGGAAGUGAGCAAGUGUUAAUUGUUGGGACAAGUAAAUCUACUGACCGGCCAAUGAUGCCAAAUGGCGAAGCAGAAAGCAGUAUCAAAGGACGCCUAAUUGUUCUAAGUUUGGAUACUCUUGGAAGUCCUCAUGAGUGCAGUUCAUUUAUUCCGACUUCUAAUUUGAGUUCCUCUUCUCAUACGGGCUCAUUCCCUGAAAUUGUUGGAUAUGCAAAUGAAGAUUUCUCUAGCAACAGCAUGUGCAGCAGUCCUGAUGAUAUUUGCUACAAUCAGAUUCAAUUUGAACAAAUAGCAGGACACCUGAGAUCACUGACUCAUGUUACCUUCACUGGUGCAGUUCUUGCUGUAUAUCCAUAUCUAGAUCGAUAUGUGUUGGCAGCAGCUGGUAAUACGCUUUCUGUAUUUGGUUUUGUGAAUGAAAAUCCUCAUCGUAUGAAGAAGUAUGCCGUGAGUAGAACGCGAUUUACUAUUACUUGUUUGAAGACAUAUGGAUCACAGAUUGCAGCGGGCGAUUGUCGUGAUGGUGUUCUCUUCUGUUCUUAUCACGAGAAUCUUAGGAAGUUGGAACUUAUUUAUGCUGAUCCUGCUCAACGAUUGGUGGGUGAUGUUGUCCUCUUAGACUGUGAAACUGCUGUUGUGUCAGAUCGUCGUGGUAGCAUAUCUGUAUUAUCCUGCCCUGGACUGGAAGUUUCUGAAAGUCCAGAAAAGAACUUAGCUGUACAAUGUUCAUUUUUUAUGGGCGAAAUAGCUAUGAGCAUCCAGAAGGCUGCAUUUAAGUAUCGGCUCCCUAUUGGUGAUGAGACAGACCCAGUGUUGGAAUCAGCUUAUAACUGCGUUGUGGCGAGUACUUUGCUGGGGAGUGUUUUUGUUAUGAUUCCUCUCACCAGUGAGGAGCAUCAACUGUUGCAAGAUGUCCAAGAAAGACUUUCACUUCACCCGUUGACUGCUCCAAUCUUGGGAAAUGACCAUGCAGAGUUUCGUCGACGUGGUAUCCCGUCGGGAGUGCCUUCAAUUCUGGAUGGUGACAUGCUGGUGCAAUUCUUAGAGCUCACCAGUGAGCAACAGCAAACUGUUCUUGAUGAUGGAUCUUCAGUAAAGGCACCACGCAGGUCUAUCUCAGUUUUCCAGGUCAUGCGAAUGUUGGAGCGGGUCCACUAUGCGCUGAACUGA